UUAAGCGACUAAGCGUACACGGUGGAUGCCCUGGCAGUCAGAGGCGAUGAAGGACGUGCUAAUCUGCGAUAAGCGUCGGUAAGGUGAUAUGAACCGUUAUAACCGGCGAUUUCCGAAUGGGGAAACCCAGUGUGAUUCGUCACACUAUCAUUAACUGAAUCCAUAGGUUAAUGAGGCGAACCGGGGGAACUGAAACAUCUAAGUACCCCGAGGAAAAGAAAUCAACCGAGAUUCCCCCAGUAGCGGCGAGCGAACGGGGAGCAGCCCAGAGCCUGAAUCAGUGUGUGUGUUAGUGGAAGCGUCUGGAAAGGCGCGCGAUACAGGGUGACAGCCCCGUACACAAAAAUGCACAUACUGUGAGCUCGAUGAGUAGGGCGGGACACGUGGUAUCCUGUCUGAAUAUGGGGGGACCAUCCUCCAAGGCUAAAUACUCCUGACUGACCGAUAGUGAACCAGUACCGUGAGGGAAAGGCGAAAAGAACCCCGGCGAGGGGAGUGAAAAAGAACCUGAAACCGUGUACGUACAAGCAGUGGGAGCCUCUUUAUGGGGUGACUGCGUACCUUUUGUAUAAUGGGUCAGCGACUUAUAUUCUGUAGCAAGGUUAACCGAAUAGGGGAGCCGAAGGGAAACCGAGUCUUAACUGGGCGUUAAGUUGCAGGGUAUAGACCCGAAACCCGGUGAUCUAGCCAUGGGCAGGUUGAAGGUUGGGUAACACUAACUGGAGGACCGAACCGACUAAUGUUGAAAAAUUAGCGGAUGACUUGUGGCUGGGGGUGAAAGGCCAAUCAAACCGGGAGAUAGCUGGUUCUCCCCGAAAGCUAUUUAGGUAGCGCCUCGUGAAUUCAUCUCCGGGGGUAGAGCACUGUUUCGGCAAGGGGGUCAUCCCGACUUACCAACCCGAUGCAAACUGCGAAUACCGGAGAAUGUUAUCACGGGAGACACACGGCGGGUGCUAACGUCCGUCGUGAAGAGGGAAACAACCCAGACCGCCAGCUAAGGUCCCAAAGUCAUGGUUAAGUGGGAAACGAUGUGGGAAGGCCCAGACAGCCAGGAUGUUGGCUUAGAAGCAGCCAUCAUUUAAAGAAAGCGUAAUAGCUCACUGGUCGAGUCGGCCUGCGCGGAAGAUGUAACGGGGCUAAACCAUGCACCGAAGCUGCGGCAGCGACACUAUGUGUUGUUGGGUAGGGGAGCGUUCUGUAAGCCUGUGAAGGUGUGCUGUGAGGUAUGCUGGAGGUAUCAGAAGUGCGAAUGCUGACAUAAGUAACGAUAAAGCGGGUGAAAAGCCCGCUCGCCGGAAGACCAAGGGUUCCUGUCCAACGUUAAUCGGGGCAGGGUGAGUCGACCCCUAAGGCGAGGCCGAAAGGCGUAGUCGAUGGGAAACAGGUUAAUAUUCCUGUACUUGGUGUUACUGCGAAGGGGGGACGGAGAAGGCUAUGUUGGCCGGGCGACGGUUGUCCCGGUUUAAGCGUGUAGGCUGGUUUUCCAGGCAAAUCCGGAAAAUCAAGGCUGAGGCGUGAUGACGAGGCACUACGGUGCUGAAGCAACAAAUGCCCUGCUUCCAGGAAAAGCCUCUAAGCAUCAGGUAACAUCAAAUCGUACCCCAAACCGACACAGGUGGUCAGGUAGAGAAUACCAAGGCGCUUGAGAGAACUCGGGUGAAGGAACUAGGCAAAAUGGUGCCGUAACUUCGGGAGAAGGCACGCUGAUAUGUAGGUGAAGUCCCUUGCGGAUGGAGCUGAAAUCAGUCGAAGAUACCAGCUGGCUGCAACUGUUUAUUAAAAACACAGCACUGUGCAAACACGAAAGUGGACGUAUACGGUGUGACGCCUGCCCGGUGCCGGAAGGUUAAUUGAUGGGGUUAGCGGUAACGCGAAGCUCUUGAUCGAAGCCCCGGUAAACGGCGGCCGUAACUAUAACGGUCCUAAGGUAGCGAAAUUCCUUGUCGGGUAAGUUCCGACCUGCACGAAUGGCGUAAUGAUGGCCAGGCUGUCUCCACCCGAGACUCAGUGAAAUUGAACUCGCUGUGAAGAUGCAGUGUACCCGCGGCAAGACGGAAAGACCCCGUGAACCUUUACUAUAGCUUGACACUGAACAUUGAGCCUUGAUGUGUAGGAUAGGUGGGAGGCUUUGAAGUGUGGACGCCAGUCUGCAUGGAGCCGACCUUGAAAUACCACCCUUUAAUGUUUGAUGUUCUAACGUUGGCCCCUAAUCGGGGUUGCGGACAGUGUCUGGUGGGUAGUUUGACUGGGGCGGUCUCCUCCUAAAGAGUAACGGAGGAGCACGAAGGUUGGCUAAUCCUGGUCGGACAUCAGGAGGUUAGUGCAAUGGCAUAAGCCAGCUUGACUGCGAGCGUGACGGCGCGAGCAGGUGCGAAAGCAGGUCAUAGUGAUCCGGUGGUUCUGAAUGGAAGGGCCAUCGCUCAACGGAUAAAAGGUACUCCGGGGAUAACAGGCUGAUACCGCCCAAGAGUUCAUAUCGACGGCGGUGUUUGGCACCUCGAUGUCGGCUCAUCACAUCCUGGGGCUGAAGUAGGUCCCAAGGGUAUGGCUGUUCGCCAUUUAAAGUGGUACGCGAGCUGGGUUUAGAACGUCGUGAGACAGUUCGGUCCCUAUCUGCCGUGGGCGCUGGAGAACUGAGGGGGGCUGCUCCUAGUACGAGAGGACCGGAGUGGACGCAUCACUGGUGUUCGGGUUGUCAUGCCAAUGGCACUGCCCGGUAGCUAAAUGCGGAAGAGAUAAGUGCUGAAAGCAUCUAAGCACGAAACUUGCCCCGAGAUGAGUUCUCCCUGACUCCUUGAGAGUCCUGAAGGAACGUUGAAGACGACGACGUUGAUAGGCCGGGUGUGUAAGCGCAGCGAUGCGUUGAGCUAACCGGUACUAAUGAACCGUGAGGCUUAACCUU
RNAcentral lists this ribosomal RNA (2902 nucleotides) under Escherichia coli. RNAcentral describes it as "bacterial LSU rRNA". It matches the Rfam family "Bacterial large subunit ribosomal RNA". The record is from RNAcentral. Lineage: Bacteria; Pseudomonadati; Pseudomonadota; Gammaproteobacteria; Enterobacterales; Enterobacteriaceae.